AAUAUUGGUCAAUGGGGGGAACCCUGAUCCAGCCAUGCCGUGUGUGUGAAGAAGGUCUUCGGAUUGUAAAGCACUUUAAGUUGGGAGGAAGUGCAGUAAGUUAAUACCUUGCUGUUCUGGCGUUACCGACAGAAUAAGCACCGGCUAACUUCGUGCCUGCAGCCGCGGUAAUACGAAGGGUGCAAGCGUUAAUUGGAAUUACUGGGCGGAAAGAGAGCGUAGGUGGUUCGUUAAGUUGGAAGUGAAAGCCCCGGGCUUAACCUGGGAAUUGCUUUCAAAACUGACGAGCUAGAGUACGGUAGAGGGUAGUGGAAUUUCCUGUGUAGCGGUGAAAGGCGUAGAUAUAGGAAGGAACAUCAGUGGCGAAGGCGACUACCUGGACUGAUACUGACACUGAGGUGCGAAAGCGUGGGGAGCAAACAGG
This 424-nucleotide ribosomal RNA is filed under the name uncultured bacterium. Its description in RNAcentral is "partial 16S ribosomal RNA". It matches the Rfam family "Bacterial small subunit ribosomal RNA", at positions 360 to 776 of the family's 1533-position model. The record is from RNAcentral.